UACGUAGGAGGCAAGCGUUGUCCGGAAUUACUGGGCGUAAAGCGCGUGUAGGUGGUGGGACAAGUCUGCUGUGAAAGCGCCUGGCUUAACCGGGCGAGGUCGGCGGAAACUGUCCGACUAGAGGACGGUAGAGGGGGGUGGAAUUCCCGGUGUAGUGGUGAAAUGCGUAGAGAUCGGGAGGAACACCUGUGGCGAAGGCGGCCCCCUGGGCCGGCCCUGACACUGAGACGCGAAGGCGUGGGGAGCGAACGGGAUUAGAUACCCCGGUAGUCCACGCAGUAAACGAUGCAUACUAGGUGUGGGGGGUAUCGAGCCCCUCCGUGCCGCAGCCAACGCAAUAAGUAUGCCGCCUGGGGAGUACGGCCGCAAGGUUAAA
RNAcentral lists this ribosomal RNA (376 nucleotides) under uncultured bacterium. RNAcentral's name for it is "bacterial SSU rRNA". It matches the Rfam family "Bacterial small subunit ribosomal RNA", at positions 524 to 898 of the family's 1533-position model. The record is from RNAcentral.